AGGACGAACGCUGGCGGCGUGCCUAACACAUGCAAGUCGAACGAGGUCCAACCGGUGGCAACACUGGUGAAGACCGAGUGGCGAACGGGUGAGUAACACGUGAGCAACCUGCCUCGAAGACUGGGAUAACCCCGGGAAACCGGAGCUAAUACCGGAUACCCCCACCGGGUCGCAUGGCCUGGUGAGGAAAUGGAUUCCGCUUUGAGAGGGGCUCGCGGCCUAUCAGCUUGAUGGUGGGGUAAUGGCCUACCAUGGCACCGACGGGUAGCUGGUCUGAGAGGACGAUCAGCCACACUGGGACUGAGACACGGCCCAGACUCCUACGGGAGGCAGCAGUGGGGAAUCUUGCGCAAUGGGCGAAAGCCUGACGCAGCAACGCCGCGUGUGGGACGAAGGCCUUCUGGGUUGUAAACCACUUUCAGCAGGGACGAUUGUGACGGUACCUGCAGAAGAAGCCCGGCCAACUACGCGCCAGCAGCCGCGGU
This 485-nucleotide ribosomal RNA is filed under the name uncultured bacterium. Its description in RNAcentral is "SSU rRNA". It matches the Rfam family "Bacterial small subunit ribosomal RNA", at positions 26 to 521 of the family's 1533-position model. The record is from RNAcentral.